This is a long non-coding RNA of Aplysia californica (California sea hare), 615 nucleotides long. RefSeq lists it as uncharacterized. Lineage: Eukaryota; Metazoa; Mollusca; Gastropoda; Aplysiida; Aplysiidae. The transcript has 4 exons. The record is from RefSeq and is a predicted model, not a curated record.
CCUGCACCACACCGCACCUCACCACAACCACAGCCUCAGCCGUUCCAGUAUUACUUCGUGUAAUUAGCAAGCCAACAGUAUGAGCCGACUCAUCGCUACCCUGUUGCUCGUUGCCAUGGCAACUGUUCUCACUGAAGCCGGAUACUAUAGAGGAAUCGGCGGAAUCGGCGGAAUCGGCGGAAUCGGUGGGAUCGGUGGGAUCGGUGGGAUCGGCAGAAUCGGUGGUUUUGGCGGAUACGGCAUGGGAUUCGGAGGUUAUGGAAUGGGAAUGGGCGGUUUUGGAAUCGGCGCUAUCGGAAUCGGCGGUAUCGGAGGCGGCUUUGGCGGUUAUGGAGGCUAUGGCGGUUAUGGAGGUUAUGGCGGUUAUGGCAUGGGCUAUGGAUACCCAAUGUACGGAAGGUACUACUAAACAUAACAUCAUUUUCCGAAAGAGGAAGGCAAACUGCAACACAAAACGAUCACAAUUCUACUAAAGCCGUCCAGUGCUGCAGGCGAGUCCGACUCUACCACCAUCACAUCAUGAGAAACAUCCCACGAGAUCGAGCGAGAUAGAGGCAUGAGUGCGACCUGUGAAUUUUUUUUUACCAACAAUAAAAGAAAAUUUUGAAGAAAAAA